This 31-nucleotide non-coding RNA is filed under the name Homo sapiens (human). The record is from RNAcentral. Lineage: Eukaryota; Metazoa; Chordata; Mammalia; Primates; Hominidae.
CCCAGGUAGAGAGUGCUCCUGGUGGCCUGGU